UACGUAGGGUGCAAGCGUUAAUCGGAAUUACUGGGCGUAAAGCGUGCGCAGGCGGUUCUUUAAGACAGAUGUGAAAUCCCCGGGCUCAACCUGGGAACUGCAUUUGUGACUGUAGAGCUGGAGUGCGGCAGAGGGGGAUGGAAUUCCGCGUGUAGCAGUGAAAUGCGUAGAGAUGUGGAGGAACACCGAUGGCGAAGGCAGCCCCCUGGGCUGAGAUUGACGCUCAGGCACGAAAGCGUGGGGAGCAAACAGG
RNAcentral lists this ribosomal RNA (253 nucleotides) under uncultured bacterium. Its description in RNAcentral is "partial 16S ribosomal RNA". It matches the Rfam family "Bacterial small subunit ribosomal RNA", at positions 524 to 776 of the family's 1533-position model. The record is from RNAcentral.